UUGCUUCUGCAGCAGACACACUAAAAUCAGAACAGCAGAGAUAAGAUGAGCAUGCCCCUGUGCAAAGAUGGCAUGCAAAGUCAGGAAAAUGCAGGGUUGGGGUUUUUU
Molecule: small nuclear RNA, 108 nt
Organism: Rattus norvegicus (Norway rat)
Lineage: Eukaryota; Metazoa; Chordata; Mammalia; Rodentia; Muridae
Source: Ensembl